Molecule: non-coding RNA, 125 nt
Organism: Gossypium raimondii (Peruvian cotton)
Lineage: Eukaryota; Viridiplantae; Streptophyta; Magnoliopsida; Malvales; Malvaceae
Source: Rfam
AAUAUGAUAAAGAUAAAUUAGAUUUUUCCCCUUGAUAUUCAGCUUUUUCCUCUUGAAAAAAUUCAAAUCCAACUAAAAAUGUUAAAUAUCUGGAGAAAAAAAAUAUGAUUUAUCAUUCUUCUAUU